This 391-nucleotide ribosomal RNA is filed under the name uncultured bacterium. RNAcentral's name for it is "bacterial SSU rRNA". It matches the Rfam family "Bacterial small subunit ribosomal RNA", at positions 29 to 449 of the family's 1533-position model. The record is from RNAcentral.
AACGAACGCUGGCGGCAGGCCUAACACAUGCAAGUCGAACGCCGUAGCAAUACGGAGUGGCAGACGGGUGAGUAACACGUGGGAACGUACCCUUUGGUUCGGAAUAACUCAGGGAAACUUGAGCUAAUACCGGAUAAGCGCGAGAGCGGAAAGAUUUAUCGCCGAAGGAUCGGCCCGCGUCCGAUUAGCUAGUUGGUGAGGUAAUGGCUCACCAAGGCGACGAUCGGUAGCUGGUCUGAGAGGAUGAUCAGCCACACUGGGACUGAGACACGGCCCAGACUCCUACGGGAGGCAGCAGUGGGGAAUAUUGGACAAUGGGCGAAAGCCUGAUGCAGCAACGCCGCGUGUGCGAUGAAGGCCUCGGUCGUAAGACACUUUCUUGAGAGAUGAG